Non-coding RNA from Ciona intestinalis (vase tunicate), 816 nucleotides. The record is from RefSeq and is a predicted model, not a curated record. Lineage: Eukaryota; Metazoa; Chordata; Ascidiacea; Phlebobranchia; Cionidae.
UUAUAAUUCUCUGAAUGUUCUUUGUUUACUAUGAAAUGGGACGAGAAAAUGAAAAGGUGUCUCAUCUUUCCCCACCGCUCUAUAUACGUUAAGAUGGUCCAAGUUUUCGUUAUAAACCAUAUCCUCACCACUCUAAAAUAGCAUUGUUAUUUGUUAAAAGCACAAUAGGAAAUCUGAGAUAUUAUUAGCUGUCGGUAACCAUCUUAUAAUAUUUCAAUGAGCAAAUCCAUACAUAUAUAGUAAAUAACAAGACCUCUAAGAUUGCAAGUACAUAUCCAUCGAAACUGUACCAUUUUCUCCACUGAUGUAAGGAAAAAGUGCUGGCAAAUUUUAGACGGUGUUGGCUGAUGAUAGGCACGGUCGAAGCGCAUUGGUUAUCGAGCUGGCCGUUCAACUAAAGGAAACACGUUUGGAAGCUUAUGUUGUUACCAGACAGUGUUUUUACAUAAUGUCAUGCUGUUGUUACUGUACCAAUACGAGUGAACUAUACAAUGUGUCAUGCGCCGUGCGCCUGGUUGAAUACCAUAUGAUGCUUGCUGCCAUAACAGACUUCGUAUGCCGCCAGACUGAUUGCAUGUGGCGUGCUGGGCGCUUUCCGAGUUUUGCUAACGUUUGUGCACAUUUCUUGCAAACAAGCCAGUUCUCGCUGUGCUGUUGUUUCGAAAAGUACAGGGUUUUGUUCCGAUUAAGUAUACGCCUUUGUUUAAUUCUUCUUAGUUUAACAGUGUAAAUCAAGAGUUUUAUGCCAGGUUAUCAUGUAUAUAAAUGUGACGUUUUGUAUAUUGUGUGUGUUAUUAAACAACUGAUUCAUUUUUA